UGUAUUAUACAGAUGGGCUCUAAAUCCAGUGACAAGUGUCCUUAUAAGAUACAGAAGGAGAGGAUGCAGUGACACUGAGGAGAAGGCCACCAGAACACAGAGGCAAAUAUAUUGGAGUGACAUAGUCCCAAGCCAAGAAAUGCCUGGAGCCAUGGGAAGACAAUUGAGCCUAUAGAAACACAGACGGUGCCUAGAUGAUUACAGCCGACUUCUGCUGACUCAACCAACGAGUAGCACCAGUUGAAGCUGUAAUGCCGAACAUGCUGUCUUCGCUUAAAAGAUUAAUGAGGCUUCAAGCACAUGGUUACCACUGAGUUGAAGCAUGCAGGCUUUUCCAUCUUCAUCAAGAAGGAGGACUCUAAAAAAAACCUGCCUGAUUUGAGCUACUUGUGACUGUUCAUAGCUUUCUUCAUCUCUCUCCUACCUCCAGUUGAAGAAAGAUGG
Molecule: long non-coding RNA, 444 nt
Filed under: Homo sapiens (human)
Lineage: Eukaryota; Metazoa; Chordata; Mammalia; Primates; Hominidae
Description: HSALNT0293340
Source: RNAcentral